This 486-nucleotide ribosomal RNA is filed under the name uncultured bacterium. Its description in RNAcentral is "bacterial SSU rRNA". It matches the Rfam family "Bacterial small subunit ribosomal RNA", at positions 28 to 524 of the family's 1533-position model. The record is from RNAcentral.
GACGAACGCUGGCGGCGUGCUUAACACAUGCAAGUCGAACGGUGACCCAGGGCUUGCCCUGGUGAUCAGUGGCGAACGGGUGAGUAACACGUGGGGCAACCUGCCCCUGACUUCGGGAUAACUCCUCGAAAGAGGAGCUAAUACCGGAUACGACCACUUCGGACAUCCGAUGGUGGUGGAAAGUUUUUCGGUCAGGGAUGGGCCCGCGGCCUAUCAGCUAGUUGGUGGGGUAAUGGCCUACCAAGGCGACGACGGGUAGCCGGCCUGAGAGGGCGACCGGCCACACUGGGACUGAGACACGGCCCAGACUCCUACGGGAGGCAGCAGUGGGGAAUAUUGCGCAAUGGGCGAAAGCCUGACGCAGCGACGCCGCGUGAGGGAUGAAGGCCUUCGGGUUGUAAACCUCUUUCUAGCAGGGACGAAGCGAAAGUGACGGUACCGUGCAGAAGAAGCACCGGCUAACUACGUGCCAGCAGCCGCGGUAAU